CAGUCGCCACGGGAACACGGAGGGAGCUAGCGUUGUUCGGAAUUACUGGGCGUAAAUCGCGCGUAGGCGGUUACUCAAGUCAGAGGUGAAAGCCCGGGGCUCAACCCCGGAACUGCCUUUGAAACUAGGUGACUAGAAUCUUGGAGAGGUCAGUGGAAUUCCGGGUGUAGAGGUGAAAUUCGUAGAUAUUCGGAAGAACACCAGUGGCGAAGGCGACUGACUGGACAAGUAUUGACGCUGAGGUGCGAAAGCGUGGGGAGCAAACAGGAUUAGAUACCCGUGUAGUCCCUGUCUCUUAUAC
Molecule: ribosomal RNA, 301 nt
Filed under: uncultured bacterium
Lineage: Bacteria
Description: partial 16S ribosomal RNA
Rfam family: Bacterial small subunit ribosomal RNA
Source: RNAcentral